Molecule: ribosomal RNA, 951 nt
Filed under: Myriostigma candidum
Lineage: Eukaryota; Fungi; Ascomycota; Arthoniomycetes; Arthoniales; Arthoniaceae
Description: partial 12S small subunit ribosomal RNA
Rfam family: Bacterial small subunit ribosomal RNA
Source: RNAcentral
AAAGCAAUAUAUUUUAGCUGCGUAAGCUAAUAUAUAUUGUACUUUUUUUGAGCCUUGUGCCGACUAUCAGAAGUAGAGCCUGUUGUUCUAUGGAUAGGAAAGUUAACGCUUUUUUUGACAGCUUCGGCUUUUAGUUAUUUAUUCGCAUAAAAUUCUAUAUAGAAUACAGAUAAUGACUAUUUUCUAUAUAAAAGUCUUGACCAAAACACGUGCCAGCAGUCGCGGCAACACGGGACAGACUAGUGUUAUUCAUCUUUAAUAGGUUUAAAGGGUACCUAGACGGCAAAAAUAUCCCCGAUAAUCGGGUUUGUGCUUUUUGCUAGAGUUUUAUAUAAGAGGGGUUUAGUACUAUCGGAGUAGAGAUGAAAUUCUUUGAUACUGUAGGGCACUGGUAAAGGCGAAGGCAGACCUUUAUGUAAAAACUGACGUUGAGGGACGAAGGCUAGGGUAACAAACAGGAUUAGGUACCCUAAUAGUCCUUGCAGAGACUGAUGAGUGUCAUAGGUCAGAUAUCUUUUUUUUUUUAAUGUAAAUAAGUGUAUAUGUUAUAAAAAUGCUAACAUAUAUACACGUUAUAAGUAUAUACAAAAUCUUAAUCUUAAUUUACAUAAAAAAUUGGUAAAUUUGGUUUAUAAAUGAAAGUGUAAGCACUCCACCUCAAGAGUAAUGCGGCUACGCAGGAACUGAAAUCAUUAGACCGUUUCUGAUACCAGUAGUGAAGUAUGUUGUUUAAUUCGAUGACCCACGAAAAAUCUUACCACAAUUUGUAUAUUAUAUCACCUUUUGGUAUGUGAUUUAAUAAUUAUUAAAUUAUGAAAGUGUUAUAAUACAGGUGUUGCAUGGCUGUCUUCAGUUGAUGUCGUGAGAUGAGGGUUAGAUCCUGAGAAUCAACGUAGAACCCAUAUUUUAUUUUUAUAAAUAGAGUAGUUUCGCCGCGAUAAUGGUAUGAUA